GAGGAGUGAGAAUCUGCACCAUGGGUCUCACAGUAAAUCAGGUUUGUUACAGUGUGUCAGUCUGGCUUCCAGGAUUGGCUAUGACAAGGAAGAUCCCACUCACUGACAGCUAGCAGAGUUUGUACUUCAUUUGUAAUUUCUAGCUGAUAAUAAUUCUGAACGAGAGCAGAUUUUGGAAGGAUCGGGGUACAAAACAGAUGAAGCAUGGAUACGUAGAACUUUCCAAGACCCCCCAAUGGCAACUCAGGCACCAGUACUGAAAUGGAGCUGGUUCCAGGUCGGGUCCGGUUCUUCAGACUUCCCUCUGCUGACACUCAGGUCCGGUUCUUGAAACUUCUCACCGCUGACCCAAUGCUCCUGCCCUUCGCACUGCUGCAUUUGGAUCCUGUAAAUGCUGGACACCUAGGGGGAGCCCCACACCGGAUGCCCUGUUCAGAUUGUGCUGCUACACUGGAAGUGGGGAAAAUCACUGCAUUUUGCACAAGAAGAUUCCACUGUGUGGCCUCAUUCACACACACGUGGUCCACGGUCCGUGAAGACCCGUCCUGCUGAGUGCACGGCGUCAUUGGUUGCUACGACGCUGUGCGCUU
This is a long non-coding RNA of Bufo gargarizans (Asiatic toad), 590 nucleotides long. RefSeq lists it as uncharacterized. The transcript has 3 exons. Lineage: Eukaryota; Metazoa; Chordata; Amphibia; Anura; Bufonidae. The record is from RefSeq and is a predicted model, not a curated record.